This 163-nucleotide ribosomal RNA is filed under the name Teyl sp. WAM T147624. RNAcentral describes it as "partial 12S ribosomal RNA". Lineage: Eukaryota; Metazoa; Arthropoda; Arachnida; Araneae; Anamidae. The record is from RNAcentral.
AACCUUCACUCAUUGACGGCCUCUUUUCUAAUCAAAGGAACUUGUUAUAUCAUCGAAAUUACCCGUUUAUUUUCCCUCACUUCUAAAGCUUUUAUACCGUCGUCUUAAGAAGAAACUCAAUAGUAAUUUUCGAAAUUAAUCAAUUAAACAAGUCAGAUCAAGG